Callithrix jacchus (white-tufted-ear marmoset) is the source of this 6927-nucleotide long non-coding RNA. RefSeq lists it as uncharacterized. The record is from RefSeq and is a predicted model, not a curated record. NCBI's taxonomy places the organism in Eukaryota, Metazoa, Chordata, Mammalia, Primates, Cebidae.
GAGACUUCAAACCCUCAGCUUCCGGUCCCAACCCAUAGAGUCUUCCAUCUCCUACGUCGGAAGUGACAUACAGCUCCUGUUCUCCUUCGCGUCCGUAGAGGUGACCCAGGCUGGAGAGGGGGGAGAAGCGGCGGGACGAAGAGCGGAAGCACCCCUCCUACCUGGACCCGGAAAAACAUGGCAACCCCGAGCCGGCCUAUCCGGAAACCGGCUCGAAGAAGUCGGGGAGAGGGGGAUUAGCCAUCGCUUCCGGAAGUUGUGACUUUUGUUUCAGAGCGGGCGAUCUUCCGAGACGCACUGGGGACCGGAUGUAGAAUUCCUGCUUAUCUGUGAAAUGCAGUUAACACAGCAGCUGGACCUAUUUCCUGAAUGCAGAGUGACCCUUCUGUUAUUUAAAGAUGUCAAAAAUGCAGGAGAUUUGAGAAGAAAGGCCAUGGAAGGGACCAUCGAUGGAUCACUGAUAAAUCCUACAGUGGCCACUGCUGCAUUUUGGUACAUUUGACUUCAGUACACUUAAACCUCGCUUUCAGGAACAUAGAGAGGGCCAUCUUCUUAGGAAUACAAAUCCCUCAAGAAUGGUGCUCGAGCUGCUCAAGCUUUCCAACCAGAAGAUAUGACUGUAUGAAAAGAUGCGACGAGAAACAAUAGAACCAGCCUCACUUCUGCCCCAUAAAACAAUUCAAAUCACUGAAGAUGACAUCUCUUGCUGGCAUCUCUGCUGCCAUCUACUGAGUCAAACUGGCACACAGUCUAGUCAGUCCUAACCAAGAAGGGUCAUUGUUCUGUAUACGUUUCCAUUUUAAGUCUUACCAUGUUGUAUUACAACUGUUUGUAUAUAACUUUACUUCUAGAUUGCAAGUACCCACAAGAUACAUAGGAUGUCUUGUUCCUCUUUUAGUAGGUAAUCAGGAAAUGGUUGUUGGAUUAAGUAACUGUGAGUGUUACAGGCCUUCUCCAAAAAGAGCAUCUCAAGAAUUUUCUUAAGGACUCCUCCAAAACCCAGACACUACCAUAAUUAUAUCAAGCAGAAGAGAGCAAGUAGUUUAUUUUUAAGGCCUUCAGAGUAGCUCCUUCUACAACUUUUUUUAUUCACCCAAUAUCAGCCUUCACAAUCUCCAUCAUCAGCAAAUUAUUCUGUCUCAAAUAAGAAUUGUUUAUUAUUUAGGUCUAUGGCUCAUGUGGCUUAGAGUUGGUUGUAACCUUAAUGUGAGGGGUUUUGGACACUCAAAAGCAGAACUGUGACGAUACUGUUGUUCUUUUCUUCCCAAAUUGAAUAAGCGCAUUCCUUCAACUUUUCUUUCUACAUCUUCAUGAUCUAUACUAGUUUCAAUACUCUAUUUAGCAUUUAAGCAAAGGUAAUUUUUUUUUUUAAUUUUUUAUUGGAUUAUAGGUUUUGGGGUACAUGAGCAGAGCAUGCAAGACAGUUGCGUAGGUACACACAUGGCAGUGUGCUUUGCUUUUCUUCUCCCCUUCACCCACAUUUGGCAUUUCUCCCCAGGCUAUCCCUCCCCACCUCCCCCUCCCACUGGCCCUCCCCUUUUCCCCCCAAUAGACCCCACUGUUUAGUACUCCCCUUUCUGUGUCCAUGUGUUCUCAUUUUUCAUCACCCACCUGUGAGUGAGAAUAUGCGGUGUUUCAUUUUCUGUUCUUGUGUCAGUUUGCUGAGGAUGAUGUUUUCCAGAUUCAUCCAUGUCCCUACAAACGACACAAACUCAUCAUUUCUGAUUGCUGCAUAAUAUUCCAUGGUGUAUAUGUGCCACAUUUUUCCAAUCCGGUCUAUUAUCAAUGGGCAUUUGGGUUGAUUCCAGGUCUUUGCUAUUGUAAACAGUGCCGCAAUGAACAUUCAUGUACAUGUGUCCUUAUAGUAGAACGAUUUAUAGUCUUUUGGAUAUAUACCCAGUAAUGGGAUAAGCAAAGGUAAUUUUAAGAAGUGUUUGCUGUCCCUGCUAUUAUCCUUAUCAAUGGGAUACCUUGCAUUAGGCAAACCUAGCAUUUACCAGGCAGAUAAGUUAGGAGUUGGUGAUUCAUUUCACAGAGCAGUCCCAGGAAAAUUUCUUCAAAAUGACUACUUCAGUCCUAUUUCAUUUAGAAAAUAUUCAUUUUUGAGCAAUUUUUCAUGAAUUACAAAUCACAGAAUGAGAGUAGCUGUAAUCUUACUGAUGUCUAAUUUAUGUGUCACUUGGGUUUAAGAUAUGUAUUUUUUUCUGGUUUCUGCUGCUGGUGUGAGGAGCUCUUCAAGAUCUCUUGUCCCUUACAGAAGUGGUCAGCAUGAAGAUCAUCUCUUAGAAAGUAUUAUGUUCAUUUGACACCUGAAAAGGCAUACCCAGAGAGUAGAAGAAACUUGGAGACUCUUUAUAUACACAGAUAGCAGAAAGGAGUCUUUCCCAUCUCUAAGGGACCAACCUGGGCAAAGGAAUAGCCUUGGCAAUCAGUCUCCCUGUCGCUGCACACUCAAGAAAACAGGGAGAGUCACAUUCUCUAAUGCCAAGGUUAAUACCUAUCUUUGGUUUCUUAGCAAGCAGGUUCUCUGCACUGCAAUCUGGAAGGCCACUAGAAUCUCUCUGCCAAUGUUUUUGCCAUCCUCAUUAUUGAUCCUAGUAGCAGCAUGAACCUGUUUCUGGAUGUUGUGUUUAGAUGCUGAUCAGCAUUAAGUACUCACCCCAGGGAGGCUGGGCAAAAACAGCAUGCGGACUUUUCAAGCUGACUUUAUAAACUGUUUGCUCUUUGGACUUGUCAGGGCCGGCAGUCAGAACCCAUGAUCGUUAAUUCAUAAAUGCCUAAUUCUUUAAGCAAUUUGGCAAAAAUCUUCAAUAAUUCAGUUUCACUGCUGGGGGCUGCUUCCAAAAUGUAUAUUUUCAAAAUGUGUGAGCAGACCGGGCACAGUGGCUCACGCCUGUCAUCCCAGCACUUUGGGAGGCUGAGGCAGGCAGAUCUCCUGAGGUUGGGAGUUCAGGACCAGCCUGAGAAACAUGGAGAAACCCUGUCUCUACUAAAAAUACAAAAUUAGCCGGGUGCGGUGGAGCACACCUGUAAUCUCAGCUACUUCGGAGGCUGAGGCAGGAGAAUUGCUUGAACCCAGGAUGCAGAGGUGGCAGUGGGCCUAGAUUAUGCCACUACAUUCCAGCCUGGGCAACAAGAGCGAAACUCCAUCAAAAAAAAAAAAAUUGGCAAAAAUCUUUGAUAAUUCAGUCCCAUUGCUGGGGGCUGCUUCCAAAAUGUAAUUUUCAAAAUGUGUGAGCAGGCCAGGCACGGUAGCUCACACCUGUGAUGCCAGCACUUUGGGAGGCCAAGGCGGGUGGAUCACGAAGUCAAGAGAUCGAGACCAUCCUGGUCAACAAGGUGAAACCCCAUCUCUACUAAAAAUACAAAAAUUAGCUGGGCAUGGUGGUAGGUACCUGUAGUCCCAGCUACUUAGGAGGCUGAGGUAGGAGAAUUGCUUGAACCCCGAAGGCAGAGUUGCGGUGAGCCGAGAUCAUGCCAUUGCACCCCAGUCUAGGCAACAACAGUGAAACUCAAUCUCAAAAAAAAAAAGUUUGCCCAUAGUGGAGAGCUAAAAAUGCUUGGUGGUGACUAUUGGUGCAAUUUGAUAUACAACAUGACAAUGGAAACCCCCCCAGUCACAGUGGAAUUUCCACUAAAGAGCUAACUGGAUAGAGACAAGGAUCCAUGUAGGCAAAUCUUCAAAAUGUACUUUUGUAGCCUCUAUUUUAAAACUGUAAUACUGCUUCUUAAUCAGGCUUAUGGCAUACAGUUGGGGAAGAAUGCUACAGAUUUAUUCUUUAGAGUGGGGUUGGGGGAAGUGAGAAUUACUUAAGGAGUCUGUACCUUUCUCUCUACCCGCAAAUUACAUCUGUGCUAUCUUCCACAUUCUUCGGCAUUAGAAAUCAAAAUGGUCUCCAUACUGGAUUGGCUUACACAUAGUAGGUCUACCCUUUAUCCUCCCUUCUGUUACCAGCACAUCAAUAAAUUGGGUAUUCUGCAGUAGGCUUUUCCAAAUGAGAAAAUAUGGUAAUCCUUUACUUUCUUUAUCCAUUCAAAAAGCUUCAUUUAAAGUUGAUGGAGGCCUGGCAUGGUGGCUUACACCUAUAAUCCCAGCACUUUGGGAGGCUGAAGCGGGUGGAUCACUUGAGGUCAGGAGUUUGAGACCAGCCUGGCCAACAUGGUGAAACCCCAUUUCUGCUAAAAAUACAAAAAUUUUCUGGGUGUGGUGGCAGGUGCCUGUAAUCCCAGCUAGUCAGGAGGCUGAGGCAGGAGAAUCGCUUGAACCCAGGAGGCAGAGGUUGCAGUGAGCCAAGACUGCACCAGUGCACUCCAGCCUGUGUGACAGAGAUAGACUCUGUCUAAAUAAAUAAAUAAAAAUAAGGUUGAUGGAAACAAGAAAUUAAAUCUAGCCUCCAUUUAGGACAGAGGUUUAAAUUAGUGACCUGCAAGUCAAGUCUGGUCUGCAGAUGUGUUUUGUUUGGCCCACACAGUACUCUGAAAAAUCAGGACUACUUACAUCAAAUCGACAUUUCCAGCUUUCAACAAGGUACACCAAGUCCACAAUCCUGCAUAAUAAAAAUUGCCUGGAAUUUAUCACUAUUGUCACUUUUGAAAAGUCCCUAGAUGUUCCUUUCCCUGACUGUGAUUUCACUCAUUUACAGUAGUGCCAGAGCUCUAUAGGUAUUUGAAAGUGACCUUUCGUUUGGAGUCUAGGAAAGGAACAUCAAGGAGACUGACACAGAUCCUCAAGGUAGGGAAGGUAGCUGUAGAUAAUUAUCAAUUAAAAAAACUUAAAAAACUAUAUAAAUAACAAGGUCUUUAUUAUGUAUCCAAUAUGUUUUUAUUCAAGAACACAACAAAUUAUAACUACUAGCAAAUUGACAGCUUAUAGUUUCAGUAGUGCUACACCAAACAUUUGUUAAAUGCUGUUUUUUUUCUGAGAAAAAAAUGGAAGAAAUGUAUGAGCUUUGUAUAAAAUGUACAAAGUUAAAAAAAAAAAUAAGGCCUCUGCUUUGAUUUUUAACUUAACAUAUGCUUUAGCAAUCUAACAGAAUUUCAGGCACCUAAAAAGUAGCAAUUUUUCAUCUUUUAAAGUUAAAAAAAGUGAUUAAUUUAAUGGUCAUUUCUUAGUUAGUUCAGGAUUUAGGAAAAGUUCUUAAUAUUAAGAAAAAUUUUUAUUAGAUUUCCGUUUCAGAAUGUCUCUAAACCUUUCCGAAUGAAUGAAUUUAAUAGAAAUCCAUUUUGAUACAUGCUUGACGAUAAUAAAUAAAAAUGUGACUAGUUACAAUUAAAUCUUUUAGACCUUGGAAUAAAUUUCUUCCUUUCCUCACUGAUAUGGUGGAACGAAAACCUAAUAUGAAAUCAGAGAAACUUAAUUCAUCAUGGCCCUUGCUAUGCGCCUGCUAUGUCAAUCAUAGCAGAAGAAGAAGAAAAGAGAGAAGACUCACUCGAGCAAGACCCAGUAAAACACACGAACACUGGUUAAAUCUUCAUCGGAACAAUUCAAAGGCUAAAAGGCAUUGUUAAGCAAUUGGUGAAAUUUGAAUAUGGACUGGCUAUUAGAUAAUAUUAAGGAAUUAAGGAAUUAUUAUUAGUAAUUUAAAAAAUAUGCUGUGUCUUUCCAUUGAAAUUGUAAUCUUGCUAGCAGAAAUUGUGUGCAAAAUAGGUAUUCAGUAGAUGUUGUUGAUGCAGAUGUUGAAUUGUAAUGUUUUAAAUUAAGGUUGAAGGUCAAGAAGCACUAGGAAAUAAUUUCUACCUUUUCAGAAUUACUGAAUUUGAGAGUUCAAAAUGACAAGAGGAGUUAUCUAGUCAAAAUAAAUUUAUCUUAAGUGUGAAGAAAAGCACACAUAGCUAGAAAGUGGUGGGGCUGGUCUAGAAUGCAGGUUUCUGUGCAGACCCACAUUAUACCUCCUUCCGUGUAGCUUACAUGGAGCCUCUUAUAGCUUCAAAGCCCUAUGUAGCUCACAACUCAAUCUUUCUCCUUCUCCACUUAACUUUAUAAUCUUGCUCUUCCUCCCAACUCCAUUUUCCAUCUCCAGCCUUUUUAAAAUUUAUAUUCACUUGACAACUUUUACUUUCCUUGGGAAAGCUGCCAGGGGCAAUUCUAACUGAGAAGGAAUAAUAACGAGCAAAGGAAAAACAAGGCAAAGUGAAAAGAACAACGACAGCGGCUGUUUAAGCUUCCUCUAAGAUGAUACGUCUACUUUAUCCCCCUGGCUUUCAUGAACACACUUUUUCCUCAGCUCUGUCAAAUACUUUAAAGAGGGAUAAACAUAUAAAUACAAAUCAAUAGACAUAUGGGAUUUAGCAAGUAUAAACUAACAGAGAAAUGUGUUUCUGGGGCCUAUUAUGUAGAAAUUACAGCUAUCUUUUCUUAAGUUCCUCUGUUAUGUUAUACACAUAUAUUAGUGAUACACAUACAUUAUCACUAAUCCUCACAGCAAGCCUAAGGGAUGACUGCCCAUAUUUUAUAAAUGAGGAAGAGGUAGGGCCACAAUUUUAAUAUGAAGCUGUCUGACUGCCCGUUAAUCUUCUUACCACCGUAACAUAAAAAUACAUACUCAAUUUAAAUUUAGGAGGGGAAAAAGUUAUGCUUUCUGCUCUUAUUCUAAUAGCAGCUCAUUUUUAUUUUUACUUGAAAAAUGUUUUUUUCCUUUUUUAGUAACAGAGACAGGAUCUUACUGUGUUGCCUAGGCUGGUCUCAAACUCAAGCGAUCCUCCUGCCUCGACCUCCCAAAGUGCUGGGAUUACCACCUCGCCCAGCCAGCAGCUCAUUUUAACCAUGUUUCAUGGUCAAGGCUGACAUUUAGCUAGUAUGUCCUGGUGUGUGGCAUAAGGGCUAAAGGCUGUUCUCUUUCACUGGGUACCUGUCCUGCUUGAUUUGUGCCCAUGCCAUACUAAUCAUUAAAUAUUUUUAAUAUUACACUUGUCCAUGGCAUAGAACUU